GGUGGCUCAGUGGUAGAGUGCUUGCCUUGCAUGCAUGAGGCCCGGGGUUCGAUUCCUCAGUACCA
This 65-nucleotide transfer RNA is filed under the name Dipodomys ordii (Ord's kangaroo rat). It matches the Rfam family "tRNA". Rfam says of the family: Transfer RNA (tRNA) molecules are approximately 80 nucleotides in length. Their secondary structure includes four short double-helical elements and three loops (D, anti-codon, and T loops). Further hydrogen bonds mediate the characteristic L-shaped molecular structure. tRNAs have two regions of fundamental functional importance: the anti-codon, which is responsible for specific mRNA codon recognition, and the 3' end, to which the tRNAs corresponding amino acid is attached (by aminoacyl-tRNA synthetases). tRNAs cope with the degeneracy of the genetic code in two manners: having more than one tRNA (with a specific anti-codon) for a particular amino acid; and 'wobble' base-pairing, i.e. permitting non-standard base-pairing at the 3rd anti-codon position. Lineage: Eukaryota; Metazoa; Chordata; Mammalia; Rodentia; Heteromyidae. The record is from Rfam by way of RNAcentral.